Long non-coding RNA from Mytilus californianus (California mussel), 624 nucleotides. RefSeq lists it as uncharacterized. The transcript has 3 exons. Lineage: Eukaryota; Metazoa; Mollusca; Bivalvia; Mytilida; Mytilidae. The record is from RefSeq and is a predicted model, not a curated record.
AUUAUCUGAAAAGGUUCCAUGAAAUUCUGUUAUGUGGUUUGAGAGGAGUUGCGAUGACAAAAGGUUGCAGUAGUAUAUUGGGCAAAUAAGUUCAAAGGGGCUUAACUCCUGGAAAAAAAAUUGAAUCGUAAUUUCCUGUCGAUAUGCACAUUCACAUAGUAUGUCCUUAUUAUCUGAAAAGGUUUCAUGAAAUUCUGUUGUGUGGUUUGAGAGGAGUUGUGAUGACAAAAGGUUGCAGUAGUAUAUUGGGCAAAUAAGUUCAAAGGGGCGUUACUCCUGGAAAAAAAAUUGAAUCAUAAUUUCCUGUAGAUAUGCACAUCUACAUAGUAUGUCCUUAUUAUCUGAAAAGGUUUCAUGAAAUUCUGUUGUGUGGUUUGAGAGGAGUUGUGAUGACAAAAGGUUGCAGUAGUAUAUUGGGCAAAUAAGUUCAAAGGGGCGUAACUCCUGGAAAAAAAAUAGAAUCGUAAUUUCCUGUCCAUAUGCACAUCUACGUAGUAUGUCCUUAUUAUCUGAAAAGGUUUCAUGAAAUUCUGUUGUGUGGUUUGAGAGGAGUUGCGAUGACAAAAGGUUGCAGUAGUAUAUUGGGCAAAUAAGUUCAAAGGGGCGUAACUCCUGGAAAAAAUA